UACGUAGGGUGCGAGCGUUAAUCGGAAUUACUGGGCGUAAAGCGUGCGCAGGCGGCGCGUUAAGACAGGUGUGAAAGCCCCGAGCUUAACUUGGGAAUUGCGCUUGUGACUGGCGUGCUGGAGUGUGGCAGAGGGAGGUGGAAUUCCACGUGUAGCAGUGAAAUGCGUAGAGAUGUGGAGGAACACCGAUGGCGAAGGCAGCCUCCUGGGAUAACACUGACGCUCAUGCACGAAAGCGUGGGGAGCAAACAGG
RNAcentral lists this ribosomal RNA (253 nucleotides) under uncultured bacterium. Its description in RNAcentral is "partial 16S ribosomal RNA". It matches the Rfam family "Bacterial small subunit ribosomal RNA", at positions 524 to 776 of the family's 1533-position model. The record is from RNAcentral.